Molecule: long non-coding RNA, 787 nt
Organism: Hyla sarda
Lineage: Eukaryota; Metazoa; Chordata; Amphibia; Anura; Hylidae
Exons: 3
Source: RefSeq, a predicted model, not a curated record
UAACGUUUUUUUUUUUUAAAGGGUUACUGGGUUAAAAACCUUACGAAUGGCAUUGGUAUAACAGAAAAUUACUAGGCGGCAUUUGCCUAAAACCGGCCAUACACAUUGGAUAAAACAUUUAUAAAAGCUUUUAUCAGCAGGAUUGCCUGACUCUGUUGUGAGUGUCUACCGAACCUCUCCCAUGAAAGAGCCCGUUGUUUCUGCUGUCCCAGAGGUCUUUGGCUACUGCUUAUUCCCCAUUGCCUACUGAAACAAACAUGGAGUUAGUUACCUAAGGGCGCCUGAAGAAACGCCCACUGGCAUGAAACGGCACCGUCGUGCUCCGGUGAACGUCCCUGCCUGCGGAACAUCCUGCUCUGCUCCUUCCACACGGGGAUCAUGUUUGGGACUACUACGUCUGUACGAUGAUGUACUCUGAAUAAACAGAAGUCCAUUUGAACAGAGAAAAAAAAAAGGAAGACCAGGGUGCAGCGCCUCGUGUAUGACCCUUGGUGUUACUGACCCUGUCACAAAUGGAGACUAGAGGAAAGAUUGGCGCUCACCUUGACCAAAGAAAGAUUGCGCCUAUCAUCCCAACUAGUGGGGUAGCAAGUAAAAGAGUAGAGAGCUGCUCAGCCUGUGAGGCUGCAGGAGAUGGGGGCUGCCCGUCCUGUCCAAAUGCGGUGAAAAUUAAGUAAAAACCUUUAUAACAGAUGCUGCUUCGCUCCAAUAAAAAAGUUGAAUCUGUAGAUGGUAUUCCAAUGCCUAAAGCAUAUGUUUAAUAAAGAGUAUAAUAAUAAAACAAUGA